GUAAUUGGUGGCAUCUGAAUUUGGCAGGAUGCGGUGAGCCGCAAAAUAAGCUUAGAUACCCUAGUAGAUUUUGCCGUCGCGCAGGGGUCUCAGUGGAUAUUUAUAACCCCUCACGAUAUCAGCAUGGUGAAGGCUGGGGGUAGGAUCAAGAAGCAGCAAAUGGCUGCCCCUCGUGGUUGACUGGUCAGCACCCCUUGUAAAUGAGGCCUUGGGCAUUGUCAUUGACGUGGAGUGUAUCUGCUUUGAACUUCUUUUAAUACUUUGUUUGUACAUAGUUUAUUUGAAGUGUGAACUUAUGCAAGGUUUGAUCAGGAGAUCGUCAUUGGGCGGCUCCAGCAGCUGCAGUGCUGUUUGAACGUUAUCCCAUGUGUAUGUCCAAUUUUCAAUGCUAAAUCAGGGCUUGAUGUCCGUCUUGAAGAUCCUAGGCCUUGACAUUAGCCAACUUUUGUCGCAGAA
Panicum virgatum (switchgrass) is the source of this 456-nucleotide long non-coding RNA. RefSeq lists it as uncharacterized. The transcript has 2 exons. The record is from RefSeq and is a predicted model, not a curated record. NCBI's taxonomy places the organism in Eukaryota, Viridiplantae, Streptophyta, Magnoliopsida, Poales, Poaceae.